CGGAGGGUGCAAGCGUUAUCCGGAUUUACUGGGUUUAAAGGGAGCGUAGGUGGGUCGGUAAGUCAGUGGUGAAAUCUUCGAGCUUAACUCGGAAACUGCCAUUGAUACUAUCGAUCUUGAAUUAUCUGGAGGUAAGCGGAAUAUGUCAUGUAGCGGUGAAAUGCUUAGAUAUGACAUAGAACACCCAUUGCGAAGGCAGCUUACUACGGAUAUAUUGACACUGAGGCUCGAAAGCGUGGGGAUCAAACAGGAUUAGAUACCCUGGUAGUCCACGCCCUAAACGAUGGAUACUCGACAUCAGCGAUACACUGUUGGUGUCUGAGCGAAAGCAUUAGUAUCCCACCUGGGAAGUACGACCGCAAGGUUG
This 367-nucleotide ribosomal RNA is filed under the name uncultured organism. RNAcentral's name for it is "bacterial SSU rRNA". It matches the Rfam family "Bacterial small subunit ribosomal RNA", at positions 526 to 896 of the family's 1533-position model. The record is from RNAcentral.